Molecule: ribosomal RNA, 253 nt
Filed under: uncultured bacterium
Lineage: Bacteria
Description: partial 16S ribosomal RNA
Rfam family: Bacterial small subunit ribosomal RNA
Source: RNAcentral
UACGGAGGGAGCAAGCGUUACUCGGAAUUAUUGGGCGUAAAGGGCGCGUAGGCGAUUUGAAAAGUCUUGUGUGAAAGCCCCGAGCUUAACUCGGGAAGUGCACAAGAAACUGUUGAAUUUGAGUUCCGGAGAGGAAGGCAGAAUUCCCGGUGUAGCGGUGAAAUGCGUAGAUAUCGAGAGGAACACCAGUGGCGAAGGCGAGUCUCUGGACGACCCCUGACACUGAGGCACGAAAGCUAGGGGAGCAAACAGG